RNAcentral lists this ribosomal RNA (236 nucleotides) under uncultured bacterium. RNAcentral describes it as "partial 16S ribosomal RNA". It matches the Rfam family "Bacterial small subunit ribosomal RNA", at positions 1256 to 1500 of the family's 1533-position model. The record is from RNAcentral.
GGCGACGCCGAGCGGACCCGAAAAGACCGUCUCAGUUCGGAUUGGAGUCUGCAACCCGACUCCAUGAAGCUGGAUUCGCUAGUAAUCGCGCAUCAGCCACGGCGCGGUGAAUACGUUCCCGGGCCUUGUACACACCGCCCGUCAAGCCAUGGGAGCCGGGAGUGCCUGAAGUACGUGACCGCAAGGAGCGUCCUAGGGUAAGACCGGUGACUGGGGCUAAGUCGUAACAAGGUAUC